GUUUCAAGGGUGCAGUGUUGUCCCAAAUCGCUUACUGCUGUGCGGCGCACUCACCGGAAAUGUUGACGCGAUUUCAUUCUUCUAAGCCAAUUUGUCACCAGCUAGCUCUGCAUCAGCUAAUUACCACCAUCCUUUGCCACAUUGCAUUAGCGUCAGUGGCCUAACAUCCAAGAAAGCCCAAUAGGGGUCUCCAAAUCUUCUCAAAUUCACUUGCUUUCCCUCUGAUGACAAAUGUUAAUCUCUCUAGUAUAACACAGGAAGCCAUCUCUUUCGCCCAAACAUUAAUUGAAGGUACAUCCAUUUUCUUCCAAGAUAAGGCAAAUAUUCUCCUGGCCUGCAGGAGUCCCAAGUCCAUUAAAGUCAUCUGCUUUGAGUUAACAAUAACAUCAUUUGGAUAUAUACCUAGUAUGCAUAAUUUGGCUUGGAGGGGCACUUUAAUCCCUACAAUUUCAGAUACAAUCUUAACGUGUGGCCUAGUAUUAAUCUAGACAUCACUGUUCCCUGAUAGAUUUUUCUGUAAUUUCCAUACUACCAACUUUUUGUUAAUUCCAUAAAGAUGUCUUCUUUUAUUACCUACCUCCCAACACUUUUGCUAUUCACUCAUGAUUCUGCUCUUUAUCAAUGCCUUUGCUUCUGACUCACUAAAUGUAAUUUCCAUAAUUCUUCUUCUUCUUCUUCUUCUACUUCUUCUUCUUCUUCCAGUGUCCGUUUGAGUGUCACAGUAGAGACACCUGCGCUGUUAUCAGAGUCAUAAACACACCUGUAUGUGAAGCACCAGCAGCUCGC
Non-coding RNA from Xyrichtys novacula (pearly razorfish), 786 nucleotides. Lineage: Eukaryota; Metazoa; Chordata; Actinopteri; Labriformes; Labridae. The record is from the annotation of a GenBank genome assembly.